UACGUAGGGUGCGAGCGUUAAUCGGAAUUACUGGGCGUAAAGCGUGCGCAGGCGGUUUUGUAAGCCAGAUGUGAAAUCCCCGGGCUUAACCUGGGAAUGGCAUUUGGGACUGCAAGGCUUGAGUGCGGCAGAGGAGACUGGAAUUCCUGGUGUAGCAGUGAAAUGCGUAGAUAUCAGGAGGAACACCUGCGGCGAAGGCGGGUUGCUGGGCCGACACUGACGCUGAGGCGCGAAAGCCAGGGGAGCGAACGGG
Molecule: ribosomal RNA, 253 nt
Filed under: uncultured bacterium
Lineage: Bacteria
Description: partial 16S ribosomal RNA
Rfam family: Bacterial small subunit ribosomal RNA
Source: RNAcentral